GACGAACGCUGGCGGCGUGCUUAACACAUGCAAGUCGAACGGUAAGGCCCUUCGGGGUACACGAGUGGCGAACGGGUGAGUAACACGUGGGUGAUCUGCCCCUUUGAUCGGGACAACCCGGGGAAACCCGGGCUAAUACCGAAUGAGGUGGCGACUCAUGAGAGUCGUCACGAAAGGAAGCUUCGGCCUCCGCGAAGGGAUGAGCCCGCGGCCCAUUAGCUUGUUGGUGGGGUAAUGGCCUACCAAGGCAACGAUGGGUAGCUGGUCUGAGAGGACGUUCAGCCACACUGGGACUGAGACACGGCCCAGACUCCUACGGGAGGCUGCAGUGGGGAAUCUUGCGCAAUGAGCGACAGCUUGACUCAGCAACGCCGCGUGAGGGAAGAAGGCUUUCGGGUCGUAAACCUCUUUCAGUUAGGACGAAGCUUUAUUGGUUAAUAACCAAUUGGAGUGACGGUACUUUCAGAAGAAGCCCCGGCUAACUACGUGCCAGCAGCCGCCGUAA
Molecule: ribosomal RNA, 505 nt
Filed under: uncultured bacterium
Lineage: Bacteria
Description: partial 16S ribosomal RNA
Rfam family: Bacterial small subunit ribosomal RNA
Source: RNAcentral